This 130-nucleotide ribosomal RNA is filed under the name Halomonas ventosae. Its description in RNAcentral is "partial 23S ribosomal RNA". It matches the Rfam family "Bacterial large subunit ribosomal RNA", at positions 2802 to 2925 of the family's 2925-position model. Lineage: Bacteria; Pseudomonadati; Pseudomonadota; Gammaproteobacteria; Oceanospirillales; Halomonadaceae. The record is from RNAcentral.
AGAUGAGACAUCCCCGAGGCCUCGAGCCUCCUGAAGGGCCCAGCGAGACCAGCUGGUUGAUAGGCCGGAUGUGGAAGCGCUGCAAGGCGUUGAGCUAACCGGUACUAAUGGCCCGUGAGGCUUGACCAUA